Molecule: ribosomal RNA, 468 nt
Filed under: uncultured bacterium
Lineage: Bacteria
Description: partial 16S ribosomal RNA
Rfam family: Bacterial small subunit ribosomal RNA
Source: RNAcentral
GACGAACGCUGGCGGCGUGCUUAACACAUGCAAGUCGAACGGAAAGGCCCUGCUUUUGUGGGGUGCUCGAGUGGCGAACGGGUGAGUAACACGUGAGUAACCUGCCCUUGACUUUGGGAUAACUUCAGGAAACUGGGGCUAAUACCGGAUAGGAGCUCCUGCUGCAUGGUGGGGGUUGGAAAGUUUCGGCGGUUGGGGAUGGACUCGCGGCUUAUCAGCUUGUUGGUGGGGUAGUGGCUUACCCAGGCUUUGACGGGUCGCCGGCCUGAGAGGGUGACCGGCCACAUGGGGACUGAGGUACGGCCCAGACGCCUACGGGGGGCAGCAGUGGGGAAUAUGGCACAAUGGGCGGAAGCCUGAUGCAGCAACGCCGCGGGCGGGAUGACGGCCUUCGGGUUGUAAACCGCUUUCGCCUGUGACGAAGCGUGAGUGACGGUAAUGGGUAAAGAAGCACCGGCUAACUACGUG